GUGUGGUAUCUUUGUCGAGGAGUCAUUCUUAUCAAAGAUAACCUUAUUAAGAGGAAUUGGCAUGGAAGUACGCAAUAUGUUUUUUGUCAUCAAGACGAAAUGAUAAAACAUUUGUUCUUUCAAUGUAAAUUAGCUCGUUCUAUAUGGAUAGUCAUCCAACUAGAUUCUGGCUUGUAUCAUCCACAUAAUGUUGCUAACAUUUUUGGCAACUGGUUACAUGGGAUUGAUCACAUGUUUAGAAUUUUUCUCAGGCUGGGAGCACUUCCCAUUAUUUGGUCGGUUUGGCUAUGUAGAAAUGAUAAGGGUUUUAACAAUAAAAGUACUUCACUUAUGCAGGUUAUCUACAUGUGUACAUGUACGCUACAUUUAUGGUCGUCUCUACAAUGUGUGGAGAAUCAAGACCUAUUUACGGAGGUGUGUACACACUUGGAGCACACUGCGAGGGAUACUCUUACCCAACAUGGAUGGUAG
Molecule: ribosomal RNA, 471 nt
Filed under: Triticum aestivum (bread wheat)
Lineage: Eukaryota; Viridiplantae; Streptophyta; Magnoliopsida; Poales; Poaceae
Description: partial small subunit ribosomal RNA
Source: RNAcentral